UACGUAGGUGGCAAGCGUUGUCCGGAUUUAUUGGGUUUAAAGGGUGCGUAGGUGGUCUAUUAAGUCAGUGCUGAAAUAUCCCGGCUUAACCGGGAGGGUGGCAUUGAUACUGAUGGACUUGAGUAAAGUUGAGGUAGGCGGAAUUGACGGUGUAGCGGUGAAAUGCUUAGAUAUCGUCAAGAACACCUAUUGCGAAGGCAGCUUACUAAGCUUUAACUGACACUGAUGCACGAAAGUGUGGGGAUCAAACAGGAUUAGAAACCCCCGUAGUCC
Molecule: ribosomal RNA, 273 nt
Filed under: uncultured bacterium
Lineage: Bacteria
Description: partial 16S ribosomal RNA
Rfam family: Bacterial small subunit ribosomal RNA
Source: RNAcentral